CUUUAUUAAAAGUGAUCAUCUUUAAAAUGUGGUUAUAAUGUGUUUAAACAUCUAUUUGCAUAGUUGUAUUUCAUUUUAAUAAUGGUUCAUGUGAGAAGUGUAAUUUCCUACACAGAGGCAGUCUUUGAAUGUAUCAUGAGUUUGUGUGAGAGAGCGCAGCACGAGAAGCCGCAGAGAUCCUGUUCGGCGGCCAUAAGCCAACAUCUCCGUGUUAAACUGGCUUGUUUUUGGACUGUAAACAGUAAUUUGUGCCGUGGUUUGUCCCCAUGAUAAUCCACAACUUAAUGGCUGCAAACUCUCAGAGACUGAAGUUGAAGUUGUAGCCUCAAUUCUGAAGUCUAACCCCUCUCAUCUGACUGAAGUGGAGAUAAGAGAGAUCUAUGGAGUGAAAGACUCUGGAAUGAAGCAUCUGUGUGAGAUACUGAAGAGUUCAGUCUGCAGAGUUAACAUCCUGAGGUU
Fundulus heteroclitus (mummichog) is the source of this 459-nucleotide long non-coding RNA. RefSeq lists it as uncharacterized. The transcript has 2 exons. The record is from RefSeq and is a predicted model, not a curated record. Lineage: Eukaryota; Metazoa; Chordata; Actinopteri; Cyprinodontiformes; Fundulidae.